ACUUGGGAGGAUUAGAUCAAGAUUAGAAACACACUGCCUCCCUGCUGCUUGCUUUCCCGCCUAAUGACCCACUUGACUGAGGCCCCACAAAGGGGCUAGGUGUCGAAAAAAAAAGGAAAGACCUGUUUACCCAGCAAAAACUCUCAUACAGCCUGGCUCCUCCCUUAUCUCUUUGGAAUAGUUUCUCGGAGCUAUCUAAGAUGCUGCUUCCCGGCUUGUAGUCCUCAGCACUGGGUACCACUAUGAAGAAACAGAAAAAAGGGUUCCCUGGUGGCCUACUGACUAAGGGUCUGGCAUUGUCACUGCUGUGGCUCACUUCACUGCUGUGGUGUGGGUUUGAUACCUGACCUUUGAAUUUCCACAUGAUUCAGGCAAGCCCCCCAAAAAAAGAAGAAAGAAGAAACAGAAAAAAUUCCUGUUUCUAUGGAGCUUACAAUUCUACUGGAAAGUAGUGAUAAUAGACAGAUAAAUAUUUUUUUUUCUUUUUACAGCUGGUAAAGUCCCAGGGUAGGGUUUUAAUCAGAGAUGCAGCUGAGGCCUAUACCACAGCCACAGCAACACCAGAUCCAAGCUGCAUCUGUGACCUACACCAUAGUGUCAUCCUUAAACCACUGAGUCACAAUGAGAACUCCGAUAAAUAAAACUAUACUCAGCCCUUUGCUGUCACUGACAUAGCCUCUUUUUACAAGGUUUUUCUUGGCCAGCUUGUGAGUUCCAGAAUCCUACCUACAGCCUUUCCUAAUAUUCUGUCUUGUUAAAAUCUCCACCCAUUGAACCCUCCUUUCAUCCUUUCAGCAAGCAUUUAUUGAGUACCUACCAGUAUCAGUGGGGGGGGGCAAAAUAAUUAUAAUUGUAAAUUUUAUAACCUUUGAAAUUAGCUUAAGUAUUUAUGUAAUCCAUUAUAAUAAACUUCAGCAAAGAUUCCUUACAAUAUGGUUUAUUAGUCUAUAAUUUGUUUGAGAGUACUAUUAUACAUUUAAAGUUGGAUUCAUGAGUGUGUGCUCUGUACAAUUGCAAAGUGCUUUGUGCUCAGAAGGGCUCCAUACUUUAAUGCUCUGCAGUGACUGUCUUGAAGGUUUUAUUUUUUUAUUUUAUUUAUUUAUUUAUUU
This is a long non-coding RNA of Sus scrofa (pig), 1109 nucleotides long. RefSeq lists it as uncharacterized. Lineage: Eukaryota; Metazoa; Chordata; Mammalia; Artiodactyla; Suidae. The record is from RefSeq and is a predicted model, not a curated record.